UUGUCACUUUGGCAGCACCUAUACCAAACUUGGACUAAUACAGAGAAGCUUAGCAUGGUCCUAUGCAAGGAUGACACACAAAUUCGUGAAGUAUUCCAUGUAUUU
Molecule: small nuclear RNA, 105 nt
Organism: Chlorocebus sabaeus (green monkey)
Lineage: Eukaryota; Metazoa; Chordata; Mammalia; Primates; Cercopithecidae
Source: Ensembl